RNAcentral lists this ribosomal RNA (481 nucleotides) under uncultured bacterium. RNAcentral's name for it is "bacterial SSU rRNA". It matches the Rfam family "Bacterial small subunit ribosomal RNA", at positions 396 to 867 of the family's 1533-position model. The record is from RNAcentral.
CACGCGUGAGUGAUGAAGGUUUUCGGAUCGUAAAACUCUGUUGUUAGGGAAGAACAAGUGCCAUAGUAACUGAUGGCACCUUGACGGUACCUAACCAGAAAGCCACGGCUAACUACGUGCCAGCAGCCGCGGUAAUACGUAGGUGGCAAGCGUUGUCCGGAAUUAUUGGGCGUAAAGCGCUCGCAGGCGGUUCUUUAAGUCUGAUGUGAAAUCUUACGGCUCAACCGUAAACGUGCAUUGGAAACUGGGGAACUUGAGUGCAGAAGAGGAGAGUGGAAUUCCACGUGUAGCGGUGAAAUGCGUAGAGAUGUGGAGGAACACCAGUGGCGAAGGCGACUCUCUGGUCUGUAACUGACGCUGAGGAGCGAAAGCGUGGGGAGCGAACAGGAUUAGAUACCCUGGUAGUCCACGCCGUAAACGAUGAGUGCUACGUGUAAGGGGGUUUCCGCCCCCUUAGUGCUGAAGUUAACGCAUUAAACAA